AGUGAACGCUGGCGGUAGGCCUAACACAUGCGAGUCGAACGACAGCACAGUAAGAGCUUGCUCUUACGGGUGGCGAGUGGCGGACGGGUGAGGAAUACAUCGGAAUCUACUUUUUCGUGGGGGAUAACGUAGGGAAACUUACGCUAAUACCGCAUACGACCUACGGGUGAAAGCAGGGGAUCUUCGGACCUUGCGCGAUUGAAUGAGCCGAUGUCGGAUUAGCUAGUUGGCGGGGUAAAGGCCCACCAAGGCGACGAUCCGUAGCUGGUCUGAGAGGAUGAUCAGCCACACUGGAACUGAGACACGGUCCAGACUCCUACGGGAGGCAGCAGUGGGGAAUAUUGGACAAUGGGCGCAAGCCUGAUCCAGCCAUACCGCGUGGGUGAAGAAGGCCUUCGGGUUGUAAAGCCCUUUUGUUGGGAAAGAAAAGCAGCAGGUUAAUACCCCGCUGUUCCGACGGUACCCAAAGAAUAAGCACCGGCUAACUUCGUG
This 492-nucleotide ribosomal RNA is filed under the name uncultured bacterium. RNAcentral's name for it is "partial 16S ribosomal RNA". It matches the Rfam family "Bacterial small subunit ribosomal RNA", at positions 29 to 507 of the family's 1533-position model. The record is from RNAcentral.